Non-coding RNA from Cyanistes caeruleus (blue tit), 8333 nucleotides. The record is from RefSeq and is a predicted model, not a curated record. NCBI's taxonomy places the organism in Eukaryota, Metazoa, Chordata, Aves, Passeriformes, Paridae.
CGUGAUGUUCUCCUUCCUCUCCCCCACUUUCUCCGUGACUCGCUGUCUCCAAUGGAAAAACCUCUGGGUUUAAAAUGCCAGGGAAAAUUUACCUCUACACAGGAUAUUCUGAGUUGGAAAGACCCCCAAGGAUCAUCAAGUCAAAUGAUGAGAAGUGAUCGGCCCAUUUAGGGAUUGAACUCAGAACAUCGGCAUUCUGAGCAAAUUUUGGGAUCACGAGAAAGGGCUGGGAUGGGAAUGGCUGCUCCUUCUUUUCUGCUAAUGCAUUUUACACAUCAGCCCCUUGAACAGCUCUAAGGCAGAACUGGCUGGCACCUGACAUAACAGCAAAGAACUCCUCCUACCCUGAAUUCCUACCCUUUCCAGCAUUUCCACAAUGGCUCAGAAGGUGCAACAUCCUUUUCCAGGCAGAAAUGAGCAGAACAAGUCCUGAGGGUUCACUUGGUCCAUGGCAGUAAUCCCAAAAGAGACAUGUGUUGUUGUCAUCAAAAGCUUCAAGAUCUGUUAAAAAUUCAAUGACAACACUGGGAUGGGAUUCCCCAGAAACCUUCUCAAUGCUCUUGGCUCAAUUUCUAUGAAUUUUUAGUCCCUCAACUGUCAGAUUGUAGAGUUCAUCCUGGGAUUUAAGGGUUGACUUUGGACCGACCUUCACCUCUGGCCCCAGUUUCCCUCAAAAACAUCCCCUACUUAUUCCAUGUAGAUUAAUUCUUUACCCCCAAAAUUUCCCUAUCUGUGCACUACCAGUGAUCCUGUUUUCCCCUCAAAAUAUUCAUUUUCCAUCCUGAAGAAAACAUCCAUUUCUACACCCAAAAUGUUCACUCCAUGUUCCUAACUGAUGACCUCAGUUUACCUCAGGAUGUUCAUUCCUGAAUCUCUGGAGAUUAUUUCACUCCCCGCCCCCCCCAAAUUUUCCCUGUCUGUCCACUUCUGAUUUCCUCAUUUUUACAAGAAAAUAUUGAUCAUCUACUCUAGGGAUUCUCUCCGGUUUACAAUCCAAAUUUUCAAGUUUUAUCCCCCAAAAUUCCCCUACUUUUCCACCAAUUCCCUCAUUUUUACUUCAAAAUAUUUAUUUAAUACCAUGGAGCUUUUCUCAAGAUUUACUCCCACUAUUUUCCCUACUUGUUCACUGCUCAUAACCUCAUUUUUCCCACUUUUCAUUCUCUUCUCCAGAGAAGAGUGGACUCUCUGUCCUCAGAGGGAAACACAAUCUGAUGGGACACAGCUCUGGCACCACAUUUCCUCUUGUUCCUGCUGUCCUGGAAAGGCACAGGCUCUCUGCAUACUGCCAUAUCAGUGGAUACACCUCUGUGCUACAGCGGCUUUCCGUGAGGGCUUCAAGGCUUUCCUCCAAAUAAUGGCAGCCACCUGGAGCAGUGCACAGCUGGGCCCGGUUCUGACAACACUGACGGAAUGUUCCUUCCAAGUUCGCUUAACAUUACCUUUCAGAGCUUACUCCUGGCACCACAGGAGAAGAAGAAAAGCACCAAGAAAGUGCCACAUCCACUCCCAAACUCCUUUCAGCUCAGCAGUAGGGAAUGUGCUCAUAUCAGCAGGGAAAGGGACUGUAGCCUAGAAGAGGCAGAAGGCAACCCAAGGCCUUCUGCACCUCCUGCGUACAGAGGGGGCCCCCCAGAGAAGCCAGGACAUGUUCUCAGUUUACUAGCAGAGCUGUGGAAACUUUUCUGUAAGUGAAGUGUAGUUUCAGACAUGUAGCACAACACCAAAAUCAUGAUUAAUCUGGUACUGAAAAUAGCAGAGUGCCUUUAGAAAGUGCUGGGGGGAAAAAAAAAAUUAAAAAAAUAAAAGACUUAAUCCAGCACCCAUUACUUCAUUAGGUGCUGGAUCAGCAAACACACAUAAGCUAUUCACAGUAACCCUCACUCAGCUUCCUCCUGUUCUUAUGUUCAAAUCAUACUAUCUAGAACUGACUUUUAAAAAAAACCAACCACAAAACUUCCAAAGACUUCAUGCAAAUAAAAACAUAACUUUAAAUAACACUUAAAAAGCAACAUUAAUUCAAACUGCCAUACUUCAUGCCAGCUUUCAGGAGUUAAAUAAAAAUGUGGUUGCAAAUUAAAUAGAAGCUUUUUUGAGUUUGAAAUUUUCAGCCAAGUAGAAAUAUUUUGUCAAAUGCAUUUCAGGGAAACUUCAUUUGAUGAAAAAUUCCCAGUUUGGGGUAAAGGUGAGUCAGCCAGUUCUCACAAACCUCUGGCUGCCACUGCCUGACUUUGAGAGAACUCUAUCCCGUGCUCCCAGCAGGUACAGUCAUUAAUCUUUAUGCUUUUCAGCAAAAUCCUUUAAUUCACACAGUAAGUGCCACACUAGUACAUGCUGGGUGAAAUCCAGGCUCUGUGGAAACCACAGGAAUUCUCCUGCCAGCAGUGCUGCUUUUCUGUUAGAUUUCCUGCCAAUGAUUGCCCAGUGUUCCACCUAUCCAGAUCCCUCUGCAAGGCCUCUCAUCCCUUGAGCCCACGGCACCUCCCACUUCAGCAUCUUCAGCAAACUCCCUCCUGGUGCGUUCCACUCCUGCACCCAGAUCCUGGACAACAGCAUUGAAAGUAUGAGCCCCUGGAUUGAGACCCAAGCACGCUACUGGCAAACCACAGCUCUCCUCUUUCUCUGACACCUGGCCUGGCUUCCAGAGAGCCACGUGCAGUGUGCCCUGUUCAGCCAAGCUGGCAACCUACCCCACCUGCCUGGCUUCUGGCUGAAUGGCCUUGCUCCCCUGCACACAUUUUAUUCAAACUUGACCAGCACUCGGGGCCCCCUGAGGCAGCUCCUCAGGGAACAUGGCCAACUGCUCCCUGGCAGCUUAUAAUUUGCACUCUUGAAAGCCAGGGUGACAACUCUGCUUUUUGUAACUACACCAAAACAUUUAAAUCAGACCAUCUCAUGGUCACUGUGACCAGGACCAUCGCUCCUGCCAUGAGUCCUCUAUUCACAAACCCCUGUGGCAGAGCACCUUUCCUAGUUGGCUUGCUGAGCAUUUGUGAUGAGAAAUUAUUCUCAACAAACAUCAGGAAUUUCCCAGACUGCUUGUCACAGCAAUAUGGUACUCAUGUCUAGUUAAGUUACUCACUGAUCCUAAAUUAAAACUGGACUUGACAUUCCACUAGCAUUCAGGAAUGUUCUACUAGCAUUUAAAAAUUGUGAAACACAUGGAAUCUUGCCACACGACCACUUAGUUUCAAACAUGGCCCCAGAGCGUUGUUCAUUGACCUGGGUAAAACAAAGCCCUGGCCCACGCCCACAGGGGCUUGCAAGGAAUAAUUAAUGUUUAACAUGCUCCAGCUCACAUAUGUGAAAUAGCUCCAACCAUAGGCAGAUGGCACCUUAGUUCACCAUGCACACUGGGAACGAGCUGUGCCACCAGCAGGCAUGUGUCACCACACCCACACAUCCAUGUCCCUGCCACCCUGGAGCGAGCAUAGCCCAGCUUGGCCCGUAGUCAGACCCCAGAGCCACAGCCCCUGCCAGCCAGGCCCCACAGAUCUCCAUCCAGGAUCCAAGAGCUGCGGGACCCUCCUGCGGCAGGCCCUGCACCGCCACGGGCGCUCCAUGCCAGGGCAGUGCCUUGCCCGGUGCCAGUGCUGGGAACACCACCCAGGGCACAGCCAGAGCCAGGGCAGUGUCCCGGGAUCAUCCCCAGAGCCCAACUGUGGGAAGGGCCCAUCCAGCCCCGCAGCCACGUGCGGGGCUCUGCCAGGAACCGGGGCUGCCCCGUCCCGUGCCAAAGACAGCUCCACAGCCUGGGCACUGGGAGAAAGCACUCACAUAAGCUGGAAAAGCAUCAGCUGAUAUCUGGUGAAUUCUGGAGGAAAUAACUCGCUUUCCACUUGGGAUAAAGGUUCAGAUUUGUAUAUGCGGUGUUUUGUUUUUUUCCAGUCCUAAUAAACUUCUGAGGAAGAAAACCAAGUUUUCAGGAGUAUUCUAGGAACAGCAGGUGAGUUCUAAAUUUCAGUUCAUACAGAAUUAAUCCUGCAAAUAUUAAUUAAAAGUUGGGUUUUUUUCUUGGUAAGUAGAGAGAAUAAUCUCUGAAUCCCUGAAUAUUUGCCUUGGAAGCAAAUAAUAUUGAAAUGACUGCAAAUCGCACAGUUAAAGAGUCUUCACUCAGACAUGAAAUAAAGUAAUUGUUUUUUGAUCUUUAAAUGGGCAGUCUACCUUCCAUUUAAUAAAAAUAAAAAUUAAUUAACCGAGAUCACUAAAACAAGAAUUGCAUGAGUUGGAUUGUUCUCCGAUACAACAGAAAAAUUCCAAGAGGCUGGAAAGUGUUUUGUUUUAGAGGCAGCAGAAAAUUUUAGCUUUUAAAAUAAAAACACUCCCAAACACAGAAAGCUCAUACCAAUGAGUCAGCAAAAGGGGUCACAGAGAGCAUUAAAAGGUCUACAGUGGUGUGACAUAUAACCCCUGGUGAGACUGAUAAAGAUUGGUAGAGCAGGUACCUUUUGUCCAAAAAAAAUUACUGACACACCUCAGCAGUUUCACCAGAUAUGAAUAUCAAUACAUAGAUAUUUAAAGUCAGCAUUUCCUGAAAAUCAAACAGAAUUUUCCUCCCUUCUCACUUCAUUUGCGUUUCUUUUUAGAAAGGUUACUUUUCAUUGUUGGAUCUCAUUUCUCCAUUAAAAAUGCAUUAAAAAAAUUAAAAAAAUAAAGAAGAAAAGUAAUUUAACCAGCAAACUAGUUCCUCUCUCAAACACUAAUAACUACUAACACUGUGAAACUGUAAGAAAUGAAACACAAAAAAGGAAUUCUCAAGAUAAUUUUUCUUUAACUGUGUUCUGAGGACAACAUUGUGUAACUGAGGCCAAACCUUGUGAGGUUAUGGCAAUAGAUUUCAAGCUCUGGUGAGCUGAACUGGUACGUGAUUACACAGGCAGGUCGUGCAUGCAGUUCCUAGCGGUUAAGGACAGCCAGAUGUUUCCUUACAGAGCUGGGCACUCCUCCCCUCCCCACCCAGCAAGAACCUGUGUCCUUUUAAGCCCAGCUCUGCCCCGGCCAGCCCGGUUUGCCCAGUGACAUCUCCACGGUGUGCGGGACAAAGGCGGACACGGAACACCAGCAGAAAUCAGAAGAGAUCACGGCUUCCAGGUUAAAGACCUUUGCUCAACUUUCUGCUGUUCUGAGUUAAUCUUUCUCUACCCAGCCAUCGGAGUGACCGUCACAGGUAAUCUUUAACCAGUGGCCAUUGACUGACAAGGAUCACAGCGUUCCUCCUCUGGGGUCUGAACUGUCCCAGCACUCGUAGCCCUUACCUCUGUCCAUGAGAUCGUGGUAAAUGUGCCCCUUGAAUGCUGCAGUACUCUGGGAUAAGCUGAUAAACAACACCUUUGUACUCUGAGCGCAAAAAUUCCUGUAGCAAUGUCCUCUUCAAAUUAUAUGGCCAUAUCCAAAAGUGAUGUGCGUCAGCAUAGUCAUUGACAUUAAGAAAGAAAAGGGAUAAAUUAAGUUCCACUGUUGGGUAUGUGUCAUUUUUCUCCAUAAAAGAUUCUGGCCUAAAUCUUUGACCCAGAUUUGUCUGGAAGUUUUAGCCAAGGGAGCCAUGCCCACAGCUGGUGGGCCCAUGACAGGAUUUUUUCCAUGGAUGAAAUAGCCAGCCCCAAAUCAAUUGAAGAGUAUUGAUUAUGUGCUGGAGUAAAGCCACAAAGAUACAGCUCAGCCUUUUCCCUGCACUUAUUCCUUCAGUUUUGAAGCUGUUCUUCCACUGUUGCUGCACAGAAAAGACACCAUCCCUGUGAUUUCCAUUUCCCUCAACAUAUCCUCCACAUUGUAUAUAAGAAAAAUGAAACGAAAGAGCUUUUGUAGGGAUCAAAUCAUGUGCUUUGUAUAGUGACACCUUACUUACCAGAAGCUCUGCAUAUAAAAUGGAAGCACAGAAUAAUUUAGGCUGGAAGGGACUUCUGGAGAUCACAGGACUCAGUCCUCUGCUCCAAGCAGUGCCAGCCUCACAAUUAGACUGCACUUCAAAGUAAGAUGAUUUUGCUUGGGGUUAUAGCUACGUAUUUCCAAGGGAAGAAUCUGGCCCUCAGGUGUAUGUGCAACAUAUGUUGCAUUAUCUGUCCCUGUGUCACCUUCAGUAACAUUUAAACAAACCAGUUCCUUUUCUUUUUCCAGGAAUUUCCCAAUACUUUGGUAUUUCAUUUCAGAGAACUGGACCCCAACCAGUCUGCAGCAGUACUGCAUGUUGCAAUGCAGUUCCAGACUUUCCCCAGGCUCCCUGGGGAGUGACCAGUGUUUCACCUACAGUUGCAGAGCCCCAUUUUGAGGGAAACUGCUUUCCACACACCCCAUCCCCCCAGAAACACAACCCAAAAAUACCAAGUGGUGUUUCUGCUGUGAUUUAAAAGUAGCACAUUUUAGUUUUUCUCUGCUAGUUUUGUACAACAAGCGGCAUUUUGAUUUUGGGUUGGUUGUUUUCUUUUUAAUAGGAGUUUUCUUUUUAAUAUGGUCUUUUGUCUUUUUUUCUGAUUAAGCAUAUUGUCAGAUACCUUCUGUAGACUUCAAAUGUAGAGUAGCAUGAGGAGUUUGCACACAAGAUGCUGAUAUAAUUGCACAGCACAUUUUUAGAUACCUACUUUCCCCAAAACUUGUUCUACUCCAGGGGCAGACUCUGAACUAGUAGUAGUAGUAGUAAUUUUGUCAUAUUCACACUGUGUGCAUGCACCAGUCCCAAACAAGGAAUUACUAUUUACACAACAGAACUGGGAAUAGAAAUCAGCAUUUUAGGAAACAGUAGAUUGUUCUUGCCAUGACAGAUUUGCAGCCCAAGACAGUGUUAAGCAAAAAAGAUCUGUCAUCAGCUGGUAACAAAGAGGGUCUAAGGAGGAGAGGGCAAGGCACAGAAUGCUUUCCAGAUUUGAUUUGAUGAUGGUUUUCUGCUGUUGGAUGGACACAUCCAGCCAAAAUCAGUAAAGUGACCUGGUUCCUCACUUUUGUGAAGUAUUUCUAUAGAAAGCUUUGCUUCCUAACCCUCCAAACUAUUUCUUCAGACUGUUCCAAAAUGUUCUAAUGGAACAGAAGUAUGGUAAUGGAAGUAAGUGAGGAAACACCUGUUAGUUAACUAGCAAAUGUUCUCAUACCCAAAAAAAAAAAAGAGUAGUGAAAUUCAUCAUAAUUGUGGAGGUUUAUGCAAUUGCCUCAUUGUUGGAUGAGGUUCUGGGAGAUGUGUUCCAUUCCUGGGUUUACCAGUGCAGUUCAGACAGCCUCAACAGAAGCCGGGCUUUCCCCCUACCUCCUAGGUGUGCUGGAAAGUAAAUCUGAAAAUUCCCAAGCAAAGCAGACAGUACAUCAAAAUUUAAGAAAGAAAAAAGAUUGGCAAGCCCCAGCAGUGAACAUGAGAUGAGCACUGUGACCUGAGGAACUGAUGAAAUCAGUCUCACUGGCAAAACUAAGCAAUUAAUAUACAGCCAGAGUAAACACUCUUCAUCUCAGGGUUCAGCAAAACAAAGAGCUGAAACCCCCUUAUCUUUUGCAUUUUUCCCUCCCUACAUGUGGUCUCUGAAGGAACAGAGAAAAUUGAGGUCUCAGAGCUUUUUCCCGUUCUUUAGUCUGACUAAAGGUGACUCCGGCUCAGUGCAGCGAGGGUCAUCUCCCUCCCCCAGAUCAAUAUUUUAAUAUGACUUAUCAGAACAAGAAUGAAUUGUUUACUUUAAAACCUCAGGAUCCCAUAAAGGGAGAGGGAAAGGUGUCCACUGGAAGCAGAGGCUUGCAGCAGCUGCCCACUGCUGGGAACUCAGAAAAGAAACCAGGACUCCAAAGGUUCGAGUACAGAGUCAGCAAAAUGUCCUGCAAGAGAAUCCUGGUUCUGCCAAGCCCUACCAACACACCAGAGGAUCCUUUGGCUGUUGUGUCCGCUGGUCUUUGAAACCCCCUCUGCUGAAGUCUGCAGUGAUCACUCCUUCCAUGGGCUAAGGACCUACUCCCAGAGCUGUGGAGUGUGACAAUGGUGUUUGUGUGCAGUCUAUCAAACGCCAUUAUCACACUAAAUAGUUCCUGGCAGACAAGGCAGCAGGUCAGAAAGGUUUGGGAUCUCUGGCAAUACAUCUUCCCACAGUACUGAGGAAUAAACAGCCGUGGUACGUGCACAGCAGGAUGACUCUGCUCCUUCUUUUAGAGGCAAAAGCACCAGAAUAUGUGAGAAAUCCAUACUUUGACACAUGCACUUCCAGACCGCAUUGUAAAGCACACCAGACUUGUUAAGGAAUCAUCACUAUACUGUCAUCAUUAGGAAAGUGGAUUUCCUUGGCAUUAACAGGGCUAUAUUUACCUCUGAGAUGUCAGCUUGUGAUUUUCAUGGAACUGACCAGGACAAUAAAACUGAAGGCAAUUAGCCAACA